Non-coding RNA from Paramuricea clavata, 235 nucleotides. Lineage: Eukaryota; Metazoa; Cnidaria; Anthozoa; Malacalcyonacea; Plexauridae. The record is from the annotation of a GenBank genome assembly.
CAUCAAAAUUUCUCUAAAUUCCUUAGAUUCUAUACGUUAUUUCCUUGAAAAUUCCUUGAAAUUUCAUUAGGCGGUUUCCAGUGCUUUUGUAGCAAUACAAAGGAUUUAAUCAAUUUUAAAGGCACAAAAUAGCACAACUAACAAAGAUGAUUGCUAGCUAAAAAACCACAGGCUAUUAUACUGUUUAAAAUUAAAUAUUUGUCAUGAGUUUACAACAUACACCUUUCCAUUGAUA